GACGAACGCUGGCGGCGUGCUUAACACAUGCAAGUCGAACGGAAAGGCCCUGAUCUUGUGGGUUGCUCGUUUGGCGAACGGGUGAGUAACACGUGAGUAACCUGCCCUUGUCUUAGGGAUAAAUCCACGAAACUGGGGAUCUUAUAGCGUAUAAUCUCUUGAACCGCGUGGGGGGAAGGUAAGUGUCGGUCGUUGGGGCUGGACUAGCUGCUUCUCAGCUUGUUGGUGGAGUAGUGACUUACCAAGGCUGUGACGGGUAGCCGGCAUGGGAGCGUGACCGGCGACAUUGGUACUGCGGUACGGCCCAGACGGCUACGGUCGGCAGCAGUGGGGAAUAUUGCGGAAUGGGCGGAAGCGUGAUGCAGCAGCGCCGCGUGCGGAAUGACGGCCUUCGGGUGGUAAACCGCUGUCGCAGGUGACGAAGCGUGAGUGACGGUAAUUGGUAAGGAAGCAACGGCUAACUACGUG
This 468-nucleotide ribosomal RNA is filed under the name uncultured bacterium. RNAcentral describes it as "partial 16S ribosomal RNA". It matches the Rfam family "Bacterial small subunit ribosomal RNA", at positions 28 to 507 of the family's 1533-position model. The record is from RNAcentral.